RNAcentral lists this ribosomal RNA (423 nucleotides) under uncultured prokaryote. RNAcentral describes it as "bacterial SSU rRNA". It matches the Rfam family "Bacterial small subunit ribosomal RNA", at positions 355 to 776 of the family's 1533-position model. The record is from RNAcentral. RNAcentral also lists the same sequence under 1 other name.
UAGGGAAUUUUCGGCAAUGGACGAAAGUCUGACCGAGCAACGCCGCGUGAGUGAUGACGGCCUUCGGGUUGUAAAGCUCUGUUGUAAAGGAAGAACUGCCUGGAUAGGAUCUAGGAAUGACGGUACUUUACCAGAAAGCCACGGCUAACUACGUGCCAGCAGCCGCGGUAAUACGUAGGUGGCAAGCGUUAUCCGGAAUUAUUGGGCGUAAAGGGUGCGUAGGCGGUUGAUUAAGUUUUAGGUGAAAGCGUGGGGCUCAACCCCAUAUAGCCUAAGAAACUGGUCAACUAGAGUACAGGAGAGGGCAAUGGAAUUCCAUGUGUAGCGGUAAAAUGCGUAGAUAUAUGGAGGAACACCAGUGGCGAAGGCGGUUGCCUGGCCUGUAACUGACGCUCAAGCACGAAAGCGUGGGGAGCAAAUAGG